ACAUGUGGAGCGCUUAGAAGUGAGAAUGCCGGUGUGAGUAGCGAAAGACGGGUGAGAAUCCCGUCCACCGAUUGACUAAGGUUUCCAGAGGAAGGCUCGUCCGCUCUGGGUUAGUCGGGUCCUAAGCUGAGGCCGACAGGCGUAGGCGAUGGAUAACAGGUUGAUAUUCCUGUACCACCUAUAAUCGUUUUAAUCGAUGGGGGGACGCAGUAGGAUAGGCGAAGCGUGCGAUUGGAUUGCACGUCUAAGCAGUAAGGCUGAGUAUUAGGCAAAUCCGGUACUCGUUAAGGCUGAGCUGUGAUGGGGAGAAGACAUUGUGUCUUCGAGUCGUUGAUUUCACACUGCCGAGAAAAGCCUCUAGAUAGAAAAUAGGUGCCCGUACCGCAAACCGACACAGGUAGUCAAGAUGAGAAUUCUAAGGUGAGCGAGCGAACUCUCGUUAAGGAACUCGGCAAAAUGACCCCGUAACUUCGGGAGAAGGGGUGCUCUUUAGGGUUAACGCCCAGAAGAGCCGCAGUGAAUAGGCCCAAGCGACUGUUUAUCAAAAACACAGGUCUCUGCUAAACCGUAAGGUGAUGUAUAGGGGCUGACGCCUGCCCGGUGCUGGAAG
RNAcentral lists this ribosomal RNA (610 nucleotides) under Staphylococcus aureus. Its description in RNAcentral is "partial 23S ribosomal RNA". It matches the Rfam family "Bacterial large subunit ribosomal RNA", at positions 1269 to 1875 of the family's 2925-position model. The record is from RNAcentral. Lineage: Bacteria; Bacillati; Bacillota; Bacilli; Caryophanales; Staphylococcaceae.